CCUACGGGAGGCAGCAGUGGGGAAUUUUGGACAAUGGGGGCAACCCUGAUCCAGCCAUCCCGCGUGUGCGAUGAAGGCCUUCGGGUUGUAAAGCACUUUUGGCAGGAAAGAAACGGCCUUGGAUAAUACCUGAGGCAACUGACGGUACCUGCAGAAUAAGCACCGACCAACUACGUGCCAGCAGCCGCGGUAAU
Molecule: ribosomal RNA, 194 nt
Filed under: uncultured bacterium
Lineage: Bacteria
Description: partial 16S ribosomal RNA
Rfam family: Bacterial small subunit ribosomal RNA
Source: RNAcentral